UCUAUUAUGGCAGAAAUAAUAUGCAAUGAACUUAAAAUUCAUUUAUAAAGAUUAAUCUUUUUUUAGAAA
RNAcentral lists this transfer RNA (69 nucleotides) under Hyadaphis tataricae. Its description in RNAcentral is "tRNA-Leu". The record is from RNAcentral. Lineage: Eukaryota; Metazoa; Arthropoda; Insecta; Hemiptera; Aphididae.